This 317-nucleotide unclassified non-coding RNA is filed under the name Bolbitius titubans. RNAcentral's name for it is "partial internal transcribed spacer region". The stretch from base 1 to 46 matches the Rfam family "Eukaryotic small subunit ribosomal RNA", at positions 1786 to 1831 of the family's 1831-position model. The record is from RNAcentral. Lineage: Eukaryota; Fungi; Basidiomycota; Agaricomycetes; Agaricales; Bolbitiaceae.
AAGUCGUAACAAGGUUUCCGUAGGUGAACCUGCGGAAGGAUCAUUACAGAAUAAACCUGGCUUGGUUGUUGCUGGCUCUCUCGGGAGCAUGUGCACGCCGGUCACUUUUAUCUUACCACCUGUGAACACUUUGUAGAUCUGGAGGCAUCUUCACAGACUCUUUUGUCUGUGGUUUUUGGAAGUGUUCCGACUCUUCCUGGCCUUCAGGUUUAUGUCUUUACAUCUACACCAUAAGCAUGUAAACGAAUGAAUCAAUGGCAGCUUCAUUGCAGCCUAUAAAACUUAAACAACUUUCAGCAACGGAUCUCUUGGCUCUC